GUUAAGCGACUAAGCGUACACGGUGGAUGCCCUGGCAGUCAGAGGCGAUGAAGGGCGUGCUAAUCUGCGAUAAGCGCCGGUAAGGUGAUAUGAACCGUUAUAACCGGCGAUACCCGAAUGGGGAAACCCAGUGUGAUUCGUCACACUAUCAUUAACUGAAUCCAUAGGUUAAUGAGGCGAACCGGGGGAACUGAAACAUCUAAGUACCCCGAGGAAAAGAAAUCAACCGAGAUUCCCCCAGUAGCGGCGAGCGAACGGGGAGGAGCCCAGAGCCUGAAUCAGCAUGUGUGUUAGUGGAAGCGUCUGGAAAGGCGCGCGAUACAGGGUGACAGCCCCGUACACAAAAGCGCAUGUGCUGUGAGCUCGAUGAGUAGGGCGGGACACGUGGUAUCCUGUCUGAAUAUGGGGGGACCAUCCUCCAAGGCUAAAUACUCCUGACUGACCGAUAGUGAACCAGUACCGUGAGGGAAAGGCGAAAAGAACCCCGGCGAGGGGAGUGAAAAAGAACCUGAAACCGUGUACGUACAAGCAGUGGGAGCACCCUUCGGGGUGUGACUGCGUACCUUUUGUAUAAUGGGUCAGCGACUUAUAUUCUGUAGCAAGGUUAACCGUAUAGGGGAGCCGGAGGGAAACCGAGUCUUAAUUGGGCGUUAAGUUGCAGGGUAUAGACCCGAAACCCGGUGAUCUAGCCAUGGGCAGGUUGAAGGUUGGGUAACACUAACUGGAGGACCGAACCGACUAAUGUUGAAAAAUUAGCGGAUGACCUGUGGCUGGGGGUGAAAGGCCAAUCAAACCGGGAGAUAGCUGGUUCUCCCCGAAAGCUAUUUAGGUAGCGCCUCGUGAAUUCAUCUCCGGGGGUAGAGCACUGUUUCGGCUAGGGGGCCAUCCCGGCUUACCAACCCGAUGCAAACUGCGAAUACCGGAGAAUGUUAUCACGGGAGACACACGGCGGGUGCUAACGUCCGUCGUGAAGAGGGAAACAACCCAGACCGCCAGCUAAGGUCCCAAAGUCAUGGUUAAGUGGGAAACGAUGUGGGAAGGCCCAGACAGCCAGGAUGUUGGCUUAGAAGCAGCCAUCAUUUAAAGAAAGCGUAAUAGCUCACUGGUCGAGUCGGCCUGCGCGGAAGAUGUAACGGGGCUAAACCAUGCACCGAAGCUGCGGCAGCGAACGUAUCACCCAAGACAACUUUACGGAGUUGACGAUUGACGGAGCGAAGCGACGUCAAAGCGUUCAUUAAAGUCGAGUUGGCUUAGGGAUACGUUCGUUGGGUAGGGGAGCGUUCUGUAAGCCUGUGAAGGUGUGUCGUGAGGCAUGCUGGAGGUAUCAGAAGUGCGAAUGCUGACAUAAGUAACGAUAAAGCGGGUGAAAAGCCCGCUCGCCGGAAGACCAAGGGUUCCUGUCCAACGUUAAUCGGGGCAGGGUGAGUCGACCCCUAAGGCGAGGCCGAAAGGCGUAGUCGAUGGGAAACGGGUUAAUAUUCCCGUACUUGGUGUUACUGCGAAGGGGGGACGGAGAAGGCUAUGUUGGCCGGGCGACGGUUGUCCCGGUUUAAGCGUGUAGGUGUGUGUUCCAGGUAAAUCCGGUUCACUUUAACACUGAGGCGUGACGACGAGGCACUACGGUGCUGAAGCAACAAAUGCCCUGCUUCCAGGAAAA
RNAcentral lists this ribosomal RNA (1657 nucleotides) under Salmonella enterica subsp. enterica serovar Typhimurium. RNAcentral describes it as "partial 23S ribosomal RNA". It matches the Rfam family "Bacterial large subunit ribosomal RNA", at positions 1 to 1616 of the family's 2925-position model. The record is from RNAcentral. Lineage: Bacteria; Pseudomonadati; Pseudomonadota; Gammaproteobacteria; Enterobacterales; Enterobacteriaceae.